Molecule: ribosomal RNA, 555 nt
Filed under: Trichoderma virens
Lineage: Eukaryota; Fungi; Ascomycota; Sordariomycetes; Hypocreales; Hypocreaceae
Description: eukaryotic LSU rRNA
Rfam family: 5.8S ribosomal RNA (bases 174-327)
Source: RNAcentral
GUGAACGUUACAAACUGUUGCCUCGGCGGGAUCUCUGCCCCGGGUGCGUCGCAGCCCCGGACCAAGGCGCCCGCCGGAGGACCAACCAAAACUCUUAUUGUAUACCCCCUCGCGGGUUUUUUACUAUCUGAGCCAUCUCGGCGCCCCUCGUGGGCGUUUCGAAAAUGAAUCAAAACUUUCAACAACGGAUCUCUUGGUUCUGGCAUCGAUGAAGAACGCAGCGAAAUGCGAUAAGUAAUGUGAAUUGCAGAAUUCAGUGAAUCAUCGAAUCUUUGAACGCACAUUGCGCCCGCCAGUAUUCUGGCGGGCAUGCCUGUCCGAGCGUCAUUUCAACCCUCGAACCCCUCCGGGGGGUCGGCGUUGGGGAUCGGCCCUUUACGGGGCCGGCCCCGAAAUACAGUGGCGGUCUCGCCGCAGCCUCUCCUGCGCAGUAGUUUGCACACUCGCAUCGGGAGCGCGGCGCGUCCACAGCCGUUAAACACCCCAAACUUCUGAAAUGUUGACCUCGGAUCAGGUAGGAAUACCCGCUGAACUUAAGCAUAUCAAUAAGCGGAG